This 73-nucleotide transfer RNA is filed under the name Treponema sp. RNAcentral's name for it is "tRNA-Thr". It matches the Rfam family "tRNA". Rfam says of the family: Transfer RNA (tRNA) molecules are approximately 80 nucleotides in length. Their secondary structure includes four short double-helical elements and three loops (D, anti-codon, and T loops). Further hydrogen bonds mediate the characteristic L-shaped molecular structure. tRNAs have two regions of fundamental functional importance: the anti-codon, which is responsible for specific mRNA codon recognition, and the 3' end, to which the tRNAs corresponding amino acid is attached (by aminoacyl-tRNA synthetases). tRNAs cope with the degeneracy of the genetic code in two manners: having more than one tRNA (with a specific anti-codon) for a particular amino acid; and 'wobble' base-pairing, i.e. permitting non-standard base-pairing at the 3rd anti-codon position. The record is from RNAcentral. Lineage: Bacteria; Pseudomonadati; Spirochaetota; Spirochaetia; Treponematales; Treponemataceae.
GCCAUGAUGGCUCAGAUGGCAGAGCGGCGCACUCGUAAUGCGCAGGUCUCGGGUUCGAUUCCCGAUCAUGGCU